CGUGUAGGCGGACUCGCAAGUCGGUUGUGAAAUCCCUGGGCUCAACCUAGGAGCUGCAUCCGAAACUGCUUGUCUUGAGUAAUGGAGAGGGUGGCGGAAUUCCCGGUGUAGAGGUGAAAUUCGUAGAUAUCGGGAGGAACAUCAGUGGCGAAGGCGGCCACCUGGACAUUUACUGACGCUGAGACGCGAAAGCGUGGGGAGCAAACA
Molecule: ribosomal RNA, 207 nt
Filed under: uncultured bacterium
Lineage: Bacteria
Description: partial 16S ribosomal RNA
Rfam family: Bacterial small subunit ribosomal RNA
Source: RNAcentral